Molecule: non-coding RNA, 291 nt
Organism: Paramuricea clavata
Lineage: Eukaryota; Metazoa; Cnidaria; Anthozoa; Malacalcyonacea; Plexauridae
Source: the annotation of a GenBank genome assembly
GUAGUUUUGAUAAUCUGUUUCCUCGUAUGAAUCAUAUUCAUAAAUAUGAUACAAGUUUUUCACAUCUGUAUCAUAUAUCUUUCUGUAGGACAAAUAUCAGGAAACUUUCAGCUAUUUUUCAAGCUCCGAAGUUUUUUAAUACUCUUGAUGGUGAUAUUUCGGUCCAACGUCAAUUCGUCGCAUUCAAACUCGACGAACUCGCGUGGUUGAACCGGACGGAUGAUGGAUUGAUGAUAAACUUUAUUUAACCACGCUAACAUUGUCAGCUACAGCUGGUUUCCACAAUGAGCG